AAAUGCGAUAAGUAAUGUGAAUUGCAGAAUUCAGUGAAUCAUCGAAUCUUUGAACGCACAUUGCGCCCGCCAGUAUUCUGGCGGGCAUGCCUGUCCGAGCGUCAUUUCAACCAUCAAGCCCCCGGGCUUGUGUUGGGGACCUGCGGCUGCCCGCAGGCCCUGAAAACCAGUGGCGGGCUCGCUGUCACACCGAGCGUAGUAGCAAUCACCUCGCUCAGGGCGUGCUGCGGGUUCCGGCCGUUAAACAGCCUUACAAAACCCAAGGUUGACCUCGGGUCAGGUAGGAAGACCCGCUGAACUUGAGC
This 305-nucleotide unclassified non-coding RNA is filed under the name plant metagenome. RNAcentral describes it as "partial contains 5.8S ribosomal RNA, internal transcribed spacer 2, and large subunit ribosomal RNA". The stretch from base 1 to 104 matches the Rfam family "5.8S ribosomal RNA", at positions 51 to 154 of the family's 154-position model. The record is from RNAcentral.